Molecule: non-coding RNA, 228 nt
Organism: Pelobates cultripes (western spadefoot toad)
Lineage: Eukaryota; Metazoa; Chordata; Amphibia; Anura; Pelobatidae
Source: the annotation of a GenBank genome assembly
CAAUUACAUACAUAUGAAUUCUCCUAUUUACAAUGAUAAUGAUAAUGUUACAGUUAUAUAGGAUUUACAGAUACGUAAUACGUGUGUUUCCUAGUCAGUUAGCAGUGAUUUACUUUUCUCUUUACGACUAUCCAUAGCCAAUGACCCUAUAUUCAUAGAACUCAUCUCUGUGUGAUGGAGUUACUAAGAAAUAUAUUGGGUAGAUAACCAUACUAAGUUACAUUUAAU